UACGUAGGUGGCAAGCGUUGUCCGGAUUUACUGGGCGUAAAGAGCGCGCAGGCGGUCGUUCAAGUCGCGUGUGAAAGCCCCCCGGCUCAACUGGGGAGGGUCACGCGAUACUGAUCGACUCGAAGGCAGGAGAGGGUAGUGGAAUUCCCGGUGUAGUGGUGAAAUGCGUAGAGAUCGGGAGGAACACCUGUGGCGAAGGCGGCCGACUGGGCCGACCCUGACGCUGAGGCGCGAAGGCGUGGGGAGCGAACAGG
This 254-nucleotide ribosomal RNA is filed under the name uncultured bacterium. RNAcentral's name for it is "partial 16S ribosomal RNA". It matches the Rfam family "Bacterial small subunit ribosomal RNA", at positions 524 to 776 of the family's 1533-position model. The record is from RNAcentral.